AAUAAACGUUGGCGGCGUGCUUAACACAUGCAAGUCGAGCGAGAAAGGUCUUCGGACUGAGUACAGCGGCAAACGGGUGAGUAACACGUGGGAAUCUACCUUUUAGUGAAGAAUACCCUCGAGAAAUCGAGGUUAAUACUGCAUACGUCUCGAAAGAGAGAAAGAUGGCCUCUCUGCUGUCGCUGAAAGAUGAGCCUGCGUACUAUUAGCUAGUUGGUAGGGUAAAGGCCUACCAAGGCUAUGAUGGUUAGCCGGCCUGAGAGGGUGUACGGCCACACUGGAACUUAGACACGGUCCAGACUCCUACGGGAGGCAGCAGUGAGGAAUAUUGCGCAAUGGGCGAAAGCCUGACGCAGCGACGCCGCGUGGAGGAUGAAGGUCUUAGGAUUGUAAACUUCUGUUAAGCGGGAAGAAGACGAAGUAUUAAUACCACUUUAUGAUGACGGUACCGCUAAAGAAGCACCGGCUAACUUACGUGCCAGCAGCCGCGGUAA
This 494-nucleotide ribosomal RNA is filed under the name uncultured bacterium. RNAcentral's name for it is "bacterial SSU rRNA". It matches the Rfam family "Bacterial small subunit ribosomal RNA", at positions 29 to 523 of the family's 1533-position model. The record is from RNAcentral.